ACGCUCGACACCUACGGGAGGCAGCAGUGGGGAAUAUUGCACAAUGGGGAAACCCUGAUGCAGCAACGCCGCGUGAAGGAAGACGGUUUUCGGAUUGUAAACUUCUAUCGACAGGGACGAAGAAAGUGACGGUACCUGAAUAAGAAGCCCCGGCUAACUACGUGCUAGCAGCCGCGGUAAUCUGAGCGGGCUGGCAAGGC
Molecule: ribosomal RNA, 200 nt
Filed under: uncultured bacterium
Lineage: Bacteria
Description: partial 16S ribosomal RNA
Rfam family: Bacterial small subunit ribosomal RNA
Source: RNAcentral